CAGCCGCCGCGGUAAUACGUAGGUCCCGAGCGUUAUCCGGAUUUAUUGGGCGUAAAGCGAGCGCAGGCGGUUAGAUAAGUCUGAAGUUAAAGGCUGUGGCUUAACCAUAGUACGCUUUGGAAACUGUUUAACUUGAGUGCAGAAGGGGAGAGUGGAAUUCCAUGUGUAGCGGUGAAAUGCGUAGAUAUAUGGAGGAACACCGGUGGCGAAAGCGGCCUGCUGGACCAAAACUGACGCUGAGGCUCGAGAGCGUGGGGAGCGAACAGGAUUAGAUACCCCCGUAGUCCCUGUCUCUUAUACA
RNAcentral lists this ribosomal RNA (301 nucleotides) under uncultured bacterium. Its description in RNAcentral is "partial 16S ribosomal RNA". It matches the Rfam family "Bacterial small subunit ribosomal RNA", at positions 509 to 808 of the family's 1533-position model. The record is from RNAcentral.